Molecule: ribosomal RNA, 944 nt
Filed under: marine metagenome
Description: bacterial SSU rRNA
Rfam family: Bacterial small subunit ribosomal RNA
Source: RNAcentral
AGGGGGCUAGCGUUGUUCGGAAUCACUGGGCGUAAAGCGUAUGUAGGCGGAUCAAAAAGUUAGAUGUGAAAUCCCUGGGCUCAACCCCAGGAACUGCAUUUAAAACUAGUGAUCUAGAAUUUGGUAAGGGUUAGUAGAAUUUCCAGUGUAGAGGUGAAAUUCGUAGAUAUUGGAAAGAAUACCAGAAGCGAAGGCGACUAACUAGGCCAUUUUUGACGCUGAGAUACGAAAGCGUGGGUAGCAAACAGGAUUAGAUACCCUGGUAGUCCACGCAGUAAACGAUGAGUGCUAGUCGCUGGUACAAUAGUAUCAGUGUCGAAGCUAACGCAUUAAGCACUCCGCCUGGGAAGUACGGUCGCAAGAUUAAAACUCAAAUAAAUUGACGGGGGCCCGCACAAGCGGUGGAGCAUGUGGUUUAAUUCGAAGCAACGCGAAGAACCUUACCAGACCUUGACAUGGUAUGUUUGAAUUACAGAAUCGUAAUUCUUCAGUUCGGCUGGCAUACACACAGGUGCUGCAUGGCUGUCGUCAGCUCGUGUCGUGAGAUGUUGGGUUAAGUCCCGCAACGAGCGCAACCCUCAUUUUUAGUUGCCAUCAGGUAAUGCUGGGCACUCUAGAAAAACUGCCGGUGAUAAGCUGGAGGAAGGCGGGGAUGACGUCAAGUCCUCAUGGCCCUUACGGUCUGGGCUACACACGUGCUACAAUGGUGGUGACAGAGGGCAGCAAUAUCGCAAGAUAAAGCUAAUCCCAAAAAACCAUCUCAGUUCGGAUUGGACUCUGCAACUCGAGUCCAUGAAGUUGGAAUCGCUAGUAAUCGUAGAUCAGCGUGCUACGGUGAAUACGUUCUCGGGCCUUGUACACACCGCCCGUCACGCCAUGGGAGUUGGUUUUACCUUAAGCCGGUGCGCUAACCGCAAGGGAGCAGCCGUCCACGGUAGGGUCAG